AAGAAUCGCAGGGACUUCUUGGUAAAUCAAAUUGUUUAAGUAUUAGGAUUUCUGUGGUUGAUGUGAUGGCAAGACUGUAUCGGUUUAGAUAUGGCAGUUUGGUGAUGCAGAUGAGGUGUUUGUUUAUAGGUUACAAUGAAAAUUCAGAAGUGACUCGGCGCGGGAAGCAACUACCAGCUGAAAAUUAAGAAGAUGUAUAAGAUUUGGAUGAGUAAGAGAAGUGCUCCAAAAAAGUAUUAGUUUUUUUAAGAUUGAUGUUUUUUGUUUUAUUUUCAUCUUAUGACCAUUUUUUUGAGUAGACACGGUUGUGGGCAAAAUUUCUUUCGUAGAUUAAAAAGUAUGAUGUGGAGACUGGAGCCUGAGACCCCACCCAAAAUUUUCGUAAUCCAGAAACGUUAAGUUAUUAUUUAUGUAUUUCAUAUGCUUCUAGCCAUAAUUUUAUUUUUUAACAAUUGAAUUUAGUCAUACAAAUUGACUGUGCUUAAUAUGAUAUAACUUCCUAUAAACUGUAAAUAUAAAUUUUAUUAAAAUUUUAAAAAUUUAUUUUUAUUAUCUACCCGCUGUAUCGCGCGGGUCUCUACACUAGUUAGAGAAUGACUUUUGUAUUAUUUAACAUGAUGUGUAUCAAAGUAAAGUCUCAAGCCCCGAAGAAAAGUAUUAAUAUCAGCAUAUAAAAAUAUUAAUUAUUUUCUAUCAGCUUAAUUUUUUAAAGAAUAACGACACUUUUCUUUAUGUAAGAAGACUAUAAUUCUAUUU
RNAcentral lists this long non-coding RNA (756 nucleotides) under Ananas comosus (pineapple). RNAcentral's name for it is "long non-coding RNA (ACOM_LNC042858)". The record is from RNAcentral. Lineage: Eukaryota; Viridiplantae; Streptophyta; Magnoliopsida; Poales; Bromeliaceae.